GGAUGGGUGACUGAGUGGUCAAAAGUGCCAGUUUUGAAAACUGUUGCAGCACAAACUGCCGCGGGUUCGAAUCCUGCCUCAUCCA
Molecule: transfer RNA, 85 nt
Filed under: Phaeophyceae sp.
Lineage: Eukaryota; Phaeophyceae
Description: tRNA-Ser
Rfam family: tRNA
About the family: Transfer RNA (tRNA) molecules are approximately 80 nucleotides in length. Their secondary structure includes four short double-helical elements and three loops (D, anti-codon, and T loops).
Source: RNAcentral